Molecule: transfer RNA, 69 nt
Filed under: Diplasterias brandti
Lineage: Eukaryota; Metazoa; Echinodermata; Asteroidea; Forcipulatida; Asteriidae
Description: tRNA-Pro
Rfam family: tRNA
About the family: Transfer RNA (tRNA) molecules are approximately 80 nucleotides in length. Their secondary structure includes four short double-helical elements and three loops (D, anti-codon, and T loops).
Source: RNAcentral
CAGGAGAUAGUUUAUUUAAAAUAAUAGCUUUGGGAGUUGUUGAGGCAAGUUUGAUUCUUGUUUUCCUGA